This 496-nucleotide ribosomal RNA is filed under the name uncultured bacterium. RNAcentral describes it as "partial 16S ribosomal RNA". It matches the Rfam family "Bacterial small subunit ribosomal RNA", at positions 28 to 523 of the family's 1533-position model. The record is from RNAcentral.
GAUGAACGCUAGCGGCAGGCCUAAUACAUGCAAGUCGAGGGGUAGAAGAGGCUUGCUUCUUUGAGACCGGCGCACGGGUGCGUAACGCGUAUGCAACCUACCUUCAUCUGGGGGAUAGCCCGGAGAAAUCCGGAUUAAUACCGCAUAAAAUCAUAGGAUGGCAGUAUCCAAUGAUCAAACAUUUAUGGGAUGGCGGUGGGCAUGCGUGUCAUUAGCUAGUUGGCGGGGUAACGGCCAACCAAGGCGACGAUGACUAGGGGAUCGGAGAGGAUGGCCCCCCACACAGGUACUGAGACACGGACCAGACUCCUACGGGAGGCAGCAGUAAGGAAUAUUGGUCAAGGGAGGCAACUCUGAACCCGCCAUGCCGCGUGCAGGAAGACUGCCCUAUGGGUUGUAAACUGCUUUUAUUCGGGAAUAAACCUUAUUACGUGUAAUAAGCUGAAUGUACCGAAGGAAUAAGGAUCGGCUAACUCCGUGCCAGCCGCCGCGGUAA